Homo sapiens (human) is the source of this 538-nucleotide long non-coding RNA. Ensembl annotates it as MIDEAS antisense RNA 1. Its record names the gene MIDEAS-AS1. The record is from Ensembl. Lineage: Eukaryota; Metazoa; Chordata; Mammalia; Primates; Hominidae.
AGACAGUGUAAAUGUGUGAAGGCCUGACACUUACACAUACAUUGCUUUUUUCUCUAUGUAAGGUGGCAGUUGCUGGAGUACCAGGGCACCAAGUGGAGGAUGUGGUAGACAGCCUCUAAGAUGCGCCCCCUGCCAAUGAUCUCUGCCUCCAGGGAGGAGCUAGAAGGCAGAGAGAAAGCCACUCAGGACUUCCCAUCCCAGAAGAUAAAGGUGAGGAAAGCAGCAGCAGCAGCCACAGGCCAGUAUUCCAGAGCAGCUUUGGGUUCCUGUCAAGACCUGCUUUGAGAAGGAGGUGGCUGUGGGGCUGGAGGGCUGGGCCUGUUCCUGAGCUGGCUGCUGGCAGCACAGCAAUGAGGCAACAUUGAGAACUGCGACACGAGGCCCAGUCCUGCUACUAAACCAACUGUGUGGACUUGCAUAGUCACUUCACCCCUCGGGCCUCCAUUUCUCCACUUUGGAAAGCAGUGUUGGGACGAUGUUAAGGGUUUGCAACCUUCCAACAUGAAGACUUAUUUUUAAAAGCAAAACAUUUCAAAGA